UGAUUUUGAAGGCAUGCCAGGCUUUUUAUUGUAGAAUUUAUGCAUAUUAUAGAAUUAUGCCGGAUCAUACGUACUCUGUAUGCGUUUGGGAGAAGCAAGGCAAGCUGUUCCCACCGUAGGGGGAAGAAAGACUGCGCUUGGUCUGAUUUUGCGCGCUGUGAAGCUGCGCCGGAGCUACACUCGUUGGGAUGCGGGAGGCGAGCUGCGUGACGCGCGGCGACGAGAGGCUCCACCGCGCACGUGGCCGCGCGGAAGGAAGCGCUGCGGAUUCCGCGGCUGCAGGCGAACUCUAGCGGCAAACGACAGGCGUCGGCUGUCCGUGGUGCUGAACGAACGCGUCGGCUCGGCCACGGAGAAGACGCGUCUGCGCCUUAUUCUCUCUCUGCCUCUCCUUUGCACGGAGGUACAGCUGCGCGCGACACGUUUUCGCCUCUUCAUCGAUGGCGGGAGGCCGAUAUAUCGGUGUUCGGGAAAACGUGCGGGCAACGGAUGUCUCGGGGAAAUCCAGCGCGCGCCGGAGUGUGUCGGAGGGAGAGGGCAGGCAGAGCCGAGGCUCCUCACUGCGUCAGGCGCGAGCCUCAAAGAGCCAUUAAACGGAAUGUGAUUAAUUCAAGGCAAAAACCCUGCUUCGGUGCCCCGCUUCCCAGUGGCCCUCAGCGCUCCAGCAUCAGGCUUUCCGCCACGGAGCAGCACAGCUUUUUUUUGGUUUUGUCACCAAACUCCAAACCCAUAGCCACAUUUUUGCACCCUUUGCCAGUGGUUGUAAUUUGUCAUGAUUUUGUUGCAAUGCUUAACUGGAGAACUUUGCAGCAGGCAGGGGGAUGUUGAUCCAGAGGUCUGGUAGUGGGACAUGUGGGUUAAAUCUCAUGAUCAGGUUCUUAGGCAGUGUAAGGCUAUGGAUGGUGUGAGUUCAGCACAGAUCUCUGUAGGGUAAAUCUAAAUCCGUCACAUGGAAUGUACCACGUGUCGGCAAAACAAAACCAUCAACGGAAAAGCGUAAUUCUGGUAUUGCAUACCUACCAGCUAGGUAAGGCUAGAAUGGGAUGGAUAUUUUGAUGUCACAUGAAUAAGCCUGUUUCAUAAUCAAAGCCUUAAUUUCAAAACAUGCUUUAUAAUCCAAAUGUGUGUAAAUCCUUAUUUUAGACUGUUGUAAAAUGGAUUAAAAUGUAUUAAAAAAAAAACUGUUGCUAUCAACUGCACUCAAUCAACAUUUUGACCAAAGACAUGGUAGCCUACAUAGGAAAAUAAAAGAAAUGGAC
Molecule: long non-coding RNA, 1259 nt
Filed under: Scleropages formosus (Asian bonytongue)
Lineage: Eukaryota; Metazoa; Chordata; Actinopteri; Osteoglossiformes; Osteoglossidae
Description: lncRNA (ENSSFOG00015028618.1)
Source: RNAcentral